This 432-nucleotide RNase P RNA is filed under the name Bradyrhizobium sp. CB1650. RNAcentral's name for it is "RNase P RNA component class A". It matches the Rfam family "Bacterial RNase P class A". From Rfam's summary of the family: Ribonuclease P (RNase P) is a ubiquitous endoribonuclease, found in archaea, bacteria and eukarya as well as chloroplasts and mitochondria. Lineage: Bacteria; Pseudomonadati; Pseudomonadota; Alphaproteobacteria; Hyphomicrobiales; Nitrobacteraceae. The record is from RNAcentral.
UCAGUCGGCCGGACGGCCGCUCCGGCAAGGGUCGAAAGGCCGCCGGGGAGGAAAGUCCGGGCUCCCUUGACAUGCGGUGCCGGAUAACGUCCGGCGGGGGCAACCCCAGGGAAAGUGCCACAGAGAACGAACCGCCCGCCGUCGCCCCUUCGGGGCUAUGGUGGGUAAGGGUGAAAAGGUGCGGUAAGAGCGCACCGCGGUUCCGGCAACGGAGCCGGCAUGGCAAACCCCACCGGGAGCAAAACCGAAUAGGGAUGGCUUAAGCGGGCUGUUCGCUUUGAGCGAUAACGCCGCGGGGCGAUGUCAGGCCCGCCGUCCGGGUAGGUUGCUCGAGGCAAUGUGCAAACAUUGUCCCAGAGGAAUGGCCGUCACGUAUCGCCUGCGCAAGCCGGCGGUGCCCUACAGAACCCGGCUUACAGGCCGGCUGAUGUG